This 301-nucleotide ribosomal RNA is filed under the name uncultured bacterium. Its description in RNAcentral is "partial 16S ribosomal RNA". It matches the Rfam family "Bacterial small subunit ribosomal RNA", at positions 509 to 807 of the family's 1533-position model. The record is from RNAcentral.
CAGUCGCCGCGGGAAUACGAAGGGUGCAAGCGUUAAUCGGAAUUGCUGGGCGUAAAGCGUGCGUAGGCGGUGAGUUAAGUCUGCUGUGAAAUCCCCGGGCUCAACCCGAAGUCUGCAUAGGAAACUGUCGGGCUUGAGUAUGGGAGAGGUGAGUGGAAUUUCCGGUGUAGCGGUGAAAUGCGUAGAUAUCGGAAGGAACACCUGUGGCGAAAGCGGCUCACUGGACCAUAACUGACGCUGAUGCACGAAAGCUAGGGGAGCAAACAGGAUUAGAUACCCCUGUAGUCCCUGUCUCUUAUAC